RNAcentral lists this ribosomal RNA (410 nucleotides) under uncultured bacterium. RNAcentral describes it as "bacterial SSU rRNA". It matches the Rfam family "Bacterial small subunit ribosomal RNA", at positions 196 to 601 of the family's 1533-position model. The record is from RNAcentral.
CAUGAUUAAAGGGGUAUUUUCCGGUAGACGAUGGGGAUGCGUUCCAUUAGAUAGUAGGCGGGGUAACGGCCCACCUAGUCAACGAUGGAUAGGGGUUUUGAGAGGAAGGUCCCCCACAUUGGAACUGAGACACGGUCCAAACUCCUACGGGAGGCAGCAGUGAGGAAUAUUGGUCAAUGGGCGAUGGCCUGAACCAGCCAAGUAGCGUGAAGGAUGACUGCCCUAUGGGUUGUAAACUUCUUUUAUAAAGGAAUAAAGUCGGGUAUGCAUACCCGUUUGCAUGUACUUUAUGAAUAAGGAUCUGGCUAACUCCGUGCCAGCAGCCGCGGUAAUACGGAGGAUCCGAGCGUUAUCCGGAUUUAUUGGGUUUAAAGGGAGCGUAGAAGGAUGUUUAAGUCAGUUGGGAAAGU